AUACGUAGGUGACAAGCGUUAUCCGGAUUUACUGGGCGUAAAGGGCGUGUAGGCGGUCUUGCAAGUCAGAAGUGAAAUUCCUGAGCUCAACUCGGGCGCUGCUUCUGAAACUGCAGGACUUGAGUGCUGGAGGGGAUAGCGGAAUUCCUAGUGGAGCGGUAAAAUGCGCAGAUAUUAGGAAGAACACCGGUGGCGAAGGCGGCUAUCUGGACAGUAACUGACGCUGAGGCGCGAAAGCGUGGGGAGCAAACAGGAUUAGAUACCCUGGUAGUCCACGCCGUAAACAAUGAAUACUAGGUGUAGGGGGUAUCGACUCCCUCUGUGCCGCAGUUAACACAAUAAGUAUUCCGCCUGGGGAGUACGGCCGCAAGGUUGAAACUUAAAGGAAUUGACGGGG
Molecule: ribosomal RNA, 397 nt
Filed under: uncultured bacterium
Lineage: Bacteria
Description: partial 16S ribosomal RNA
Rfam family: Bacterial small subunit ribosomal RNA
Source: RNAcentral